Molecule: ribosomal RNA, 396 nt
Filed under: uncultured bacterium
Lineage: Bacteria
Description: partial 16S ribosomal RNA
Rfam family: Bacterial small subunit ribosomal RNA
Source: RNAcentral
AUACGUAGGGGGCAAGCGUUAUCCGGAUUUACUGGGUGUAAAGGGAGCGUAGACGGAAGGCCAAGUCUGAUGUGAAAGCCCGCGGCUCAACUGCGGGACUGCAUUGGAAACUGGUCAUCUGGAGUGCAGGAGGGGUAAGCGGAAUUCCUAGUGUAGCGGUGAAAUGCGUAGAUAUUAGGAGGAACACCGGUGGCGAAGGCGGCUUACUGGACUGUAACUGACACUGAGGCUCGAAAGCGUGGGGAGCAAACAGGAUUAGAUGCCCUGGUAGUCCACGCCGUAAACGAUGAAUACUAUGUGUAGGGGUUGUCAUGACCUCUGUGCCGCCGCUAACGCAUUAAGUAUUCCGCCUGGGGAGUACGGUCGCAAGAUUAAAACUCAAAUGAAUUGACGGGG